Molecule: ribosomal RNA, 254 nt
Filed under: uncultured bacterium
Lineage: Bacteria
Description: partial 16S ribosomal RNA
Rfam family: Bacterial small subunit ribosomal RNA
Source: RNAcentral
UACGUAGGGGCCAAGCGUUGUCCGGAUUUAUUGGGCGUAAAGAGCUCGUAGGCGGUUCGGCAAGUCGAAUGUGAAAUCUCCACGCUCAACGUGGAGGGGUCAUUCGAUACUGCCGUGACUUGAGUACGGUAGGGGAGUGUGGAAUUCCCGGUGUAGCGGUGAAAUGCGCAGAGAUGCGGAGGAACACCAGUGGCGAAAGCGACUUUCUGGUCCUUAACUGACGCUGAGGCGCGAAAGCAUGGGGAGCGAACGGG